UUUUCAUUUUAAAGUGAACUAAUCCUUUAAGUAACUUUGCAAACAUGUCAACUAACUUUAAGAGUAUUAGUAGACUGUUAGGUUAGGCUUAGUAGAAUAAGUUGACAUGUACUUGCAAAGUUACUUAGUUACUCUAUAGUAAAUUGAAUGUCUGUCUAUAGAUAAAUAAACAGACAGACAGAAACUACUACAAUAGUGUUGAUGUUAAUAUGGACACCUGUUUCCACUGAGUUCAUUAGCUUUUGCAGCAAGUUGUUGAGAUGAUCCUGUAGGGGGCGCUCUUCCACAUUCAAUAUGUUGUUGCACAGCACCAGCCUUCAUUUUUUUUUUUAGCUCAUAGCAAUGUGCAAUAAACUCCCAAUGCUUGUAUACGACAAGCCACUCACCAUGAGUUUCCCUAGUACAAUGUUAUACAACAUCCUUGUCAACCAGGUUUAGGGUUUGGCCUAUAGGGCUGGUUUGAGGCUUGAACAACAAUCAUUUCUCUUUUUGGGAAGUGUGUGGUUAAGGUUAUAACAAGAAUAUUGUCAAAGAAAUGUAGUCUAACCAUUACUUGGCAAGUUGCGUGACUUUUUGUUGUUCUUUGUUAAGGAACGAUCCAACGGCAUGAGACUCGUCCAGAUGCUCCAGGUAAUCGUGAUAGGAAUGUGAAUGGAGAAAGAGAGGGGAGGCAGAGUCAGACUCAGAAUUAAAGAUAAAUGUCAGCUGUCUCUUUGAUUGAUAAGCCUCACCAACAACAUUCCUCCUAAAAAAGAGAAAGGAAGAAUUUGACACAUAACAGAAUGACCUUGUGUGCUGCAUGCCAGAAUGGGCCUGACACACUUUUCUAGUCACCUCAGUGAUGUUUACUCUGCCAUAAAACCUUAAGAUGGCCACCUCUCUUCACAUUUCUCUUCAACGGCUUUCCAAAUACUUUUUGAGCUGUUUUUGCAUAUGGUGUGCUGAUCUAAAGCAGACAAGAUCGUUUUCACCAGGGUUUUCAGGUAUACUCCCCGCCUCUCAUCUGGGCAUGCUCAUACCAACUCUGGGCAGGCAAAUAAAGCAAAUCCCUGGCACAGCCCAAAUGGUCUUUAAAUCAUAUCUGUGGUUGGCUUUGGGUUCUUUCGGCGCUCUUUUGUGCUUUUGUCUAACCUGUACACUCCUCCUUUUCCUGCCUUUUUCAUUGUGUCAACUCAAAUAUGAUAUGAAGUGAACUCUCCACACCCACCAUUGGUUUAUUAGACCAUUGUUUGAUGUUCUUACUCAUUCUAUCUAUUUCUCUCCUGGUCUGUUUAUCUCUUUUUCUCUCUAGGUCAAUAAUAUGGAGAAGCCCCACCCAGCUGAAGAGAUACUGUAGCUCUCCCCAAACAUAGCUGAGGAGUCAUGUGGUAUCCAGAUCCCACGAAGACAAUUUAAAACAUUAGUGCAACUUAUUAUUCACUGGGAGUGUUUUUCUUUGGCAUGGUGGGUAUUUAUUUUGGGUAGCACAAAAAUGUUUUAAGCACUAUGGAUUAGGAUGAGAUCACUCUCUUUUGUACAUUUUCAAGUUUUGGGACAUUUGGUUUAGCAUUUCACAUCAGUUAUAAAAUACAAUACAGUAGAACAAUAAAGAAGUAUGUCAAAUAAUACAUUAAUAUGCAAAACACCCAAUUUUAGGACAGAUGAUUUGUAAUCACUGUACAAUGUACAAAACACAUCUGGAUUCUUAUGCCACAGAUAAAAUAUAUAAAAAGUAAUUGCACUAUAAAAUGAAAAUCGCAAUUAGUUCCUGUCCUCAAAUUUGAUUGGCCCCAGACAGACAGACCUACUGUUGGAUUGAUACAUAGAUAUUUGUACAGAUAGAUAAAUAGAUAGCGGCAUUGGGACCUUAGUUUCUGAAAUCGCUAUCUACUCCUUCAUUGACUAUUCCUUGUGGAUAUCGACUGUGUCCGAAAUCACCCCCUUUACCAUUUUACAGUGCACUACUUGAGGGAACAGCCAUUUGUAGUGGUGUCCAAAAUAGUCGAUAUCAUCAAGUACACUUAUUCAAUCAUAUAAUAGAUGCAGCCAUACAUGAGAAAGGCAUGAACAAAAAUUAAUGAGUGUCCUUGAGACAACAUUCAAACGAAUGGAACUGAAGCGCACAAUCCUCAAAUCACAUUUGAUUGGAUUACUUUGGAUUACUGCACAAUUUACUGGAUUACGUUACUUCGAAAAAGUAAUAGACCUUAUGUAGCCCCGCCUCUUUCAGCUCUGCGCUCGUUGUCUUCUGGUUCGUAUUUCCACAGUAUGAAGGUAAGAACUUAUGGAUUUAUGAAUGAACUGCUCGUUUUAAAAUCUUCCCGGUCAAUUGACAUUUGUUUUGACAUCCGCUUCAGAUAUUACAAUGCUUAUGAUAACUUUCGUUAACUUUACAAUAUGUAAAUUCACUUCACUAGCUAAUUAGCCUACUCCUUGACAGCGAUGCCAUAAAAAUAAACAGAGCUACUGCAAAAACGGAAGUUCAAAUAAAAUUCUAAAGAUGCCCGCAAAAGGUUUAUGAAGUUUCAGUGUUAAGCUUAAACUACACCUUUUUACAUUUUCAAAACAAUUCAUAGUUUGUGUAAUACGAUAAAUCGUCUGAGCAGUUUUGCCUCGUUGAUUAGGCAUUCGGAUAAAUAGGUAACCUUUCAUGAGUCAUUGAUUCAUUCACUCAAACGAACCGAGUCAUUUAAUUGAUUCGAUUUUUUUCUUUAGCGGAGGAUAAAUAAACAAAGUAACUGGCGAUAUUGUGUUUACAAUGUAAGUUGCUCAAUUGUAUCUAUAUCUUUAUAUUAACCAUUGAAACUGCUCAGAAUUUAGUUCUUGAGUAAAUGUCUUAAUGUGUUUGCUUUUGUUUAAGUUAUCUAUGCAUUUUUUUUAAAGCCUGGUGUUAGUGUAAAUACUUUUACCACUGUAUUUAGAAUAGUUUUGGUAGUCGCUCUCAAAUUGAUUGCUUUUUGUCUGUGUGACCUUUUAAGGUGUUCUGUUCAAACAAAUCUUUAAACUAUUUCAGUUAAGAUAGAUUGAUGAAAGCUGAAGUACAGAAGUGGAGUUCAUGUUGCUUAUGGCAAGAAUGCAGAGAAUCUGCAGAACAAUGAAAAAUGAUAAUGAUUAUUCCAGUACAUUCUUGGUGUAUUGUGUUACUGCCGGAGCUGAUGUUUACUCAAAAGUGUUUGACACAGAUUUCACGGCCUCGUUAACUAUAGGCUCUCAAAGUUUAGUUUGCAUAGCCUAGCAACUGCCUCAGUUUCCUGCCUUUGUACGCUGUCUCAUUUCCCCUUCUUCACCCUGGAAAAACGUACAAGCAGAGGCAAACACAAUCCAUCAGAGCUUAGUCAUUUAAACGCCUCAGAAACACACCGUAGUUUGGCCAAGAGAAGCGAAUAAUCUGGGAAAGCUCUGAACAGCUUAAUUCGUAAAAUUCGCUCUCAGUGACAUAAGUGCCACAAAAAUGUAGAUAAACCAUUGCUCUCUUGUUGGAUUCUUUUCACACAACUCCAUUGUUUUCUAUUGUAACAUAUUUACACUGGCAAGUUAUGGUUUUUUCAUUCAUAAAUGACAUGUAUAUAUAAUAUUGGAUCAACCAAUGGCAUGAGUUUGGGGUGUUAACUAUCUGUUUGAUUGACCAAUAGAGAUGAAGUAUAAACACAAACAUACUAUUUAUUUUAAUAAGGGAAUCACACAUGAAACAUAUAGAUAGUAAUUCUUUUCUGUCAAUAUGAUUUAUUUUUAUCAUAUACUGUACUUUACAAUAAUGAUGAUGCAUGUUGACUGAAGCACUUAACCUUUACAUAAAUAAGUAUGAAACCCCACACUUAAUAUGCUUUAGAGAGAUAAGACAUCUUAAAAGCUGUACUCUGGAUUUAGCAAGCUAUUGGAGAAAAAUUUUAAGAGCUAAUAAACGUCCCCAGCAGGAAUGUGUAACUACCUUGUAUGGGCAUGAAAAUCAAGUGUGCCUUUUUUCUGUCAUCUUUCUGCAGCAAAGAGGUUUACUUGACUUUAAUGUGGUUUAAAUAAGGGGGAUUACUAAAGGUGGUGAGGUGGGAAGGUCAAACAGAGGUAAAAAAAAAAAAAAAAAAAACAUAUCUUUUCUCAUUCUAUGACUUUUUUAAAUGUGUACAGAAGGGAGAGGAUUCCUCUUCCUGAAUGAUGCUGAUGCCACUGAGUAUCACCACUCUGUGAAGAAGAAGUGCUGAGGUGAGAAUGUGAGGGGUCAAAGUCUGGCUCUUGUAACGUUUCUGAUCUUCUUUUUUACAUCUCCAUCAGUUUUUUCCACCCAUCCAUCUUUUAGAUGAAAGAGAAAAGUGGAUGUUUGACAUCAAAAGAUAGAGGACAAGCCUCUCCAUUCCUGCACUGCACAUUCCACUGCAUUUGAGGAGAAUCCUCCAUCGUGUGGAAGGAGUUUCCCAACCUCACCUCUCUCCCAGACACCACGGAUGGAUGCCUUCCAUUAGCACAGCAUUAAAGAAGAUUAAUGACACCUCUUACGUCUGCUACGCCUCAUUGAAACACCCCUCAACCAUCUUCCCAUCUGGUGUUCUCUACCUGAUAAAUGCAUUGUGUGAGAAGCAAAGACGAGCUGCAUCAAUAGUCGGAAGCUCUCGGCCGAAGCCACAUGGUAAAAGUAGACAACUCUCAGAGGAGCUGUUUUCACAUCUCCUGUCCAAAAAGAGUUGCAGUCAUUUCCUCAAGCUACUGCAAGCUGGAGGACAAGGCAAGGGUGUGUCUUGGGCCUUUGGGGGAAAAUUUAUGCGCUCUGUCCCAUUUGUAUGGGCUUCCACUGACAGGAGGAGUUCCCCGCUCCAGAAGAAGAGUUCUCCCACACAGCCAACCCACGUGGCGAGCAGGGAUGUCCUCGGAUAAUUUUAGUCAGCUGACGUCGUUCUGUGUUCCUACCUUACAUCUGUUCCUCCUUUUGUUCCUGAUGUCUGCUAUUAACUGUGUUGCUUUUUGUCUCUGAAAUUUAAUGUCAAACACAUGUGCUUCUGCAAGGAACAAAGCCGUUUGAGAGGAACUUGUGUUAGAAACCAGACCUCAAGUCUCUAUCUUCUUAAAGCCCAAUGUAAUGUUUUGGGCCGAAUUGACUCAAAAUAUCUUCUUAUGUGUUCCAUAGAAAGUCAAGGUUUGGAACGACAUGAGGGUGAACUAUGAACUCUCCCUUUAACAAUAUUAUUUCCCCACUAAUUUUACCUUGGAUACCAGAUCUUUUCCUGAAAUCUAGGUAGAUUGAUUUCUGCAUAUGGCGCAUCAGGAAAAAAUCUCACAGAGAGCUCACAUUCAUCACAACUCGAACACAUCCUGCCUGGAGCCCGUUGCAGGAAAGAGUGGGUCACCACAGCAUUAUGUAAUGGGCUCUUUGCUGUCAUGGCAACGCUGUGGGAACUGGAACUGUGUAUUCGUGUGGCUGGAGGCUGCGGCGUGUGUUGACAGAAUGUUCCUCACGUUGGGUUCCUGGAUGGGCCUGACUAUAAACACUCAGUCAGGGAGUUCCCUCUCUGACACAGUUCUGGGUUUGGAAUUCUGUGCAGGUUUUUAUUACUACGUUUUUGGUCACAUCCACUCAUUUUUAUUUUUCCACAGGAUCUAGAAGAAGUUUUAUACUGUACUCUGACUGGAAAAGGGACAUUUUCUGAAAGGAUCUGCAAGCCAGAUCAAUUCACCAAGUUUCACCAAAUUCACCAAAAUUUGCAACGUUAAACAUUUGUGAAUCCUCACCGCUGUUGUCAGGGUCUCAACGUUUCGGUUAAAAGAGCCAAUUGCCUUUUGACAGUGUUUACUUGCACACACACACACAAAAAGAAGCAAGAUGUAAAUGAUAAUGUUGCAGAGUUUAUUGCUGGUUUCAAAGUUACUGAAGCAUCAUUUUAAAGGGUUAGUUCACCCAAAAAUGAAAAUUCUGUCAUUAAUUACUCACCCUCAUGUCGUUCCACACCUGUAAGUCCUUCGUUCAUCUUCAGAACACAAAUUAAGAUCUUUUUGAUGAAAUCAGAGAGCUUUCUGUCCGUCCUUAGACAGCUACGCAACUGACACUUUGACUGAAUAAACCUCAUUGGUUUUUGCGGAAGCUCAAACGUGCUGCGCAACAUGAGAAUGAACCUCAGUGGUUCUUGUGGAAGUUCAAGCGUGCUGCGAAACACAUGAGAAUGAAGCUUAUUGGUUCUUGUGGAAGCUCAAAUGUGCUGCGUAACAUGAGAAUAUAAAGUUCAGUCAUGAAACUCUAUUAAUCGCUGAUUGGUUCUUUCAGUACUACGACACCAACCAAUAAGAGGUACUUCCUCAUUUACGUGGCUUUAUUUAUACCGUAUCCUAGCUGCGAUCAGCACGCCGCACAAUAUGAGAACUCCUAUAGUCCCACCUCCUCCACAGCGCCACCUGUAGAGAUCUGCUACGGGGGGUUCUAUCAUUCUGCAGCAGCCUUUCCUUUGUUGUUAUUUUGACUAAGCUGAACAAUUAUGUAUUUGCUCAGCAGCAGCAGCAGCAGCGUAGCAGAUCUUGUCCGCCAAAAUCAAGCCUAUGUACAUUCCAUGCUCCAUGCUAAUAAAAUGCUGGUUGAAUCUA
Long non-coding RNA from Ctenopharyngodon idella (grass carp), 6537 nucleotides. RefSeq lists it as uncharacterized. The record is from RefSeq and is a predicted model, not a curated record. Lineage: Eukaryota; Metazoa; Chordata; Actinopteri; Cypriniformes; Xenocyprididae. The transcript is spliced from 3 exons.